RNAcentral lists this long non-coding RNA (2249 nucleotides) under Lepisosteus oculatus (spotted gar). Its description in RNAcentral is "lncRNA (ENSLOCG00000023070.1)". Lineage: Eukaryota; Metazoa; Chordata; Actinopteri; Semionotiformes; Lepisosteidae. The record is from RNAcentral.
AUGGAAGACCUCAUUGAUAACACAAAAGAGUAUUUUACAAUUCUUCCAAUGAAGAAGCAAGCAGCACACAAGGUUCUGCUGGAGUCCAGCUAUUGCCGGAUUUGCUUCCUCUACCUCAAGACGCUGCUGAAGACUGACCACACACGUCUGCUGGAGAAGUGGGGAGAUGUGGAAGGAAGGAUGGAACAGGAUGCCGGGAUCUUGCAUGCUGCAUUUUCCCAGCUGAGUCCCAAUGUGAAGCAGUGGAGCGUGGUGCUGCUGAGAGUGGCGGAGAUGCUGAGAGUGAGCGAUGAGGACGCUCUGAAGCAGCUGGGCAGUUUCCUCUUGAGAGACAUCCCCGAAGUGAGCAAGCGCCAGCUGCGCUCCCUGCUGCAGUGGAAGGGCAGCCUGUCCGCCCGGCAGGUGACCGCCGUCCUGGGGGCGUGUGAGGAGGUCAGGGUGUGGCUCAGGCAGACCUCUGACCCCCAGGACCCUCAGGACCCACUCGACCCCAAACCUCUUCGCUGGGGCUGCUGCUUUUCCUGCCUUUGGUGACGCGUCUCCACGCGGCCCACCGCAGCCCUCGCCUCCUCCAGAGUGGACAUUCGUGAGCCCCACCCCCACGGCUGUGCUUCGCCACAUCUGUCCGCUCUGCGCCUGCCAUCCUUGUGUCCUACCGAGCCUCACAGCAUGCUGGCUGAGUUCUUCUUUCCUCCAAUGGAGGACCCCAGGCGUUAAAGCAGUAUAUAUUUUUUUUUCUAUUUGAGAAAAGCCUUGUUGUAUUUGUGCUUCACACAAUGCCUUUGUAAACAUUCAUCUGAAACGUGCUGUAAACCCUGUUGCGGGGGUGUGUUGACUGUACUGUAUGUAUGGGAAAGGGCGGUGGGGAGAUUAACUACUGUCAUGAGUGGGGAGGAGGCAGACUGUGUCCCGGCUGGCAGGGGUUCUUCCAUCAGGAAUCCCGCACAUCAUGGGCAGUCCGACACAGGCGCCAGCCGGAUUUCUGUAGCCCUGUGGAAUUCUGUAUCCGCACAGAACACAGGAUCUGUAUCCUGUAGGCCGUUGGAUUUCAGGGCACUGAGUCCGAGAGACUUUCGGUACCUCCUUUCUUGCCAUUUCCUCCCCCAGGCCAGUCUCAGUGCGGCUCUGGAGGUUCAGUUUCACCCACUCGAGUUAGAAGUAGCGGCAGUGGUUUGGUCAGCGAUGCCAUUAAGGAUCUGGCUACAGCAAAGCCUUGGACUGGAUCAAGGUGGAAGUUGUCUCCCCCUGCUGUAGGAUGCAGAAAAUAAUAAUAAUCAUUUACAGGUAAUGGGGACUCCUCUCCAUCACCAAUGUGUGGCCCCACCUGGAUUAAUAAUAAUAAUUAAUAAUUGUUUACACUUAUAUAGCGCUUUUCUGGACACUCCACUCAAAGUACUUUAAAGGUAAUGGGGACUCCCGUCCACCACCACCAAUGUGCAGCAUCCAUGGAUGAUGCAAUGGCAGCCAUAGUGCGCCAGAACGCUCACCACACAUCAGCUAUCAGUGGGGAGGAGAGCAGAGUGAUGAAGCCAGUUCAGAGAGGGGGAUUUUUAGGAGCCCAUCAGUGGUAAAGGCCAGCACAUUGGGCCCCUACAUUUGUUUUUAAAAACACCCUGGGAUUUUUAAUGCCCACAGGGAGUCAGAACCUCAGUUUAGGUCUCAUCCAAAGGACAGUGUCUUUUUUACAGUAUAGUGUCCCCAAUCACAGUACUGGGGCAUUAGAACCCACACCCUCCAGUGGGCUGCCAGCUGUGAGUUGCCAGGUGAUACAGCUGCUGGGAUGAACCCUGGGAAUUUGAGAGCCUGACUUCUGACAGCCCUCCUGGCUGGAUCCCUGACCCAGUCCAAAGCUAGAGGGCAUUUCUCAUUGGUGUGAAGCUGCACCAGCUCUCUACACAGGGACAGAUUCUGUCCAGAACCCUGAUUUAUGGUGACAGAGCCUAUCGAUAGUUCUGAAGUCCGGGACCAGUACCUUCCUGGCUCGUCUUCUCUCCCUCAGUGCAGUGAGACUCAUGCUGUACUUAUCUACUAUUCUGCCCUACUCCUCCUACUAUCUUUCUGAGACGGGCAGAGUUUGCACAACCUCUGUAAAUAAGGUACUUUUAUUGUUCAAUGUCAUUUUUUAACAAAUCUGCACGGUGCAUGUGUUGGAUUAUGACACCGAAAGUGUGAAGUUUUGCACAUUUGUUUUCACACUGUGAUUGCUGUGCUGCUGAAAGGAAUAUAAUUUUAUUUAUGGCUAACAGCUG